CCCGUCAACCCGACCCAACCCGUCCGAAAAUAUUCGGUUCGGGUUAUGAUCAUAACCCAUGAUGAAUACAAUUCGGGUUGGCCCAACCCAACCCGCUUCGGGUUGAGGUUGGGUUGGGACUGGGCUGGGUUGGGCCAACCCAAGUUGCAGCCCUAGUUGCAACUAAGAUGGUGUCACUAAUUGUUGAGGAGCAGAAAUUAAAGGGCAGUAGAAGCAAUAAUAAAUUGGGUCAGAAGAAGAGGUUGAUGAUGUGUGUGAUGUUAUUGCUUGAAAUCUUUGAGAGGAUUGGUGAGGAGAUAGAAUAUUUGGUGUCCGGAUCACAUGUCAUUGUAUGUUACUAUAUACUCCCUCACUUCUCCUAUUCUUGUGAAUUUAAUGACAUUGGUGUUAGUUUUGCCUAACUAAUAGUAGUAACUUUGAUGUUGGUUGACCUCGUGCAAUACCAGUGGUGCCCUGUUCUCCCCCUCUAGUGUGGUUUGAUGGUAGAAUGUGGUCUCUUUAUAACACCUUCUUUUCAAUUUUAUUUGCCUUUUUCUGGUUCCUUGCAGCCGACUGAGAGUUCAAAGAGGGCUGAAACAAUGGCAAAGUUACUUGUUUUCUGGCUCGCGGAUAUAGGCUUCCCAUUCACGAAUGAAGUUGAAGUUCUUAAACAUAUGAACUGGUUUGUUAUACCCUAUACUUGUAUUUUAUAUGGUUUGUCUUUCCAUCUACUUGUAUUUUGUACUUGAUUUAUAAAAAAUUUGCCUUGAAUUCCUUAAUAGCCAACACUAACGGGUAUCUUCUUCUUUUCUAUUAUAUUUGGAUGUGAAAUUAACGAUUUAUUACCGAAAGUUUAUUGGAUGAGCGGCAAGGGGAGUUGUCAGGUUGUUGAUUGCUUCCUUCCUCUUACAUUAAACUCAAUGUAUUUCCUGAGCCUGCCAAAGAAGAAGCAGUUCGACACAUCUUGUUUAAAGUUGUCAAUGUAUAGUUUUUUUUUUCUUCUCUUUCUUAACUGAUUCAGGUGGUGUUUGUGGAUCUAAAUUUGAACAAAAGAAUCCUAACAUCCCAGUGCACACAACGAUUCAGAUUCCUCCAAUAACAAAGGUAAGAAAGAUCUCUCUCUCUCUCUCUCUCUCGAUAAAAAAAGAAUAUCUUUUAUAAAGUGUUGAUGGGGUUUUGGUCCCUGAAACUACUGACACGUCUUCUAACAAGUAAUUUGUUGAAUUCAGAAUAAUUUUGGAAGUUAGUUCAUGAUAGUAUGAUUAGUCUAAGUACUUAGAAUAUAGGAAAAGGGACAUGCAAGAAAUGGAGUUGGAUUCAUUAUGAUUAGGAGAGGGAUGUUGUUUUUCUACAUGAAACUACUAAGUAGGUAGUUGAAAAGGUUUGAAAAUUGAAAACAUGGGAUAUAAACUUUAUUAGACCGGAAAAGAGAAACUGAGAAAUGGAGUCGGUGUUAUCAUCAAUGAGAAUUUAAAAGAUGCUAUAAUUAUUAUUGGAAAGAAGAUUGGAUAAUAUACUUAGUACUUAUGCACCACCCCAAGUAGGACUAGAUGAAUGCAUAUUUUGGCAAGUGACUGUGGGUGGCGCGGUGUGGACGUGGUUAGUUGAUUUAGUUAACGACAAUGCUACUUAGACAUAGAGGGGGUGAAUAGGUCUUCUUGCUUGAUUUUUAUGAUUGAUUAAUUAACCACGCCGUUUAACAAUUAAAUCUAAACCAAGCACAAAAUAAACAAUAUAGUAAAGCAAGUAAAGGAAAGAACACACCAGAUUUUUUAACAUGAAAAACCUCAGUGAGGAAAAAAACCAUGGAGACUAGACGUCUUGGGCAAAUCAAUCCACCAUCUUGAAGAAAGUUACACAAACCUUGUCUCAGUCUCACAUUGUUUACUCUGCCAAGAACUCAUUGCUGAACAUCCCAAACGGACUUGUUCAUUAGCUUUAAGUGGACCAAAGGCGAGCCAAACCAUUUUGUCUUUUUUCCCUAAAUGAUUGUAAGCUAAUCCCUGAAGAGACCUUAAUGUCACAAAUUAGUUUACUAGUUUUACAUGUGUCUGUAAAAGGAAAACAAAAAAUUAGAAGUAAAGUACUAACCUAAGAACUAAGUGGUGGAAUUUGAGAGAGGAGAAAGUAGAAUUUUUUAUAAAUAGAUGAUAAAAAGCAGCAAUAUGAAAUUUAGAUUAUGAAACUAACAUAGAAUAGGGUGAUUGAAUGUACUAAAUGAGUUUAUUGUACUUGAUUUGUUAAAAAUUUGCCCUGAAUUCCUUAAUAGCCAACACUAAUGGGUAUCUUCCUCUUUUCUAUUAUAUUUGGAUGUGAAAUUAAUGAUUUAUUACCGAAAGUUUAUUGGAUGAGCGGCAAGGGGAGUUGUCAGGUUGGUGAUUGGUUCCUUCCUCUUACAAUGAACUCAUUGUAUUUCCUGAGUGUGCCAAAGAAGAAACAGUUAGACACAUCUUGUUAAAAGUUGUUAAUAUAUAGUUUUUUUUUUUUUUUUUUUUUUUUUUGUUCUUCUCUUUCUUAACUGAUUCAGGUGGUGUUUGUGGAUCUAAAUUUGAACAAAAGGAUCCUAACAUCCCAGUGCACACAACGAUUCAGAUUCCUCCAAUAACAAAGAAGCAAACAACUAGAAUGCCACUUGAGCAGCAGCAGAGGUCAAUCUCGACACUCUCUUCACAGGAGAAACCAGGUUUACUUUCUAUGGUGCAGUCAAAUUAUAAGUCACAGAGAUUUACAACAAGGUUCAGUCCAAAGUUUUGCACAGCUACUGAAGCUCAGACAAAGGAAAACAUUCCAAGUGAUCAGGCGACCUGAGCCAGGUCUUGCGUUGAGCAAAAAAUUGUCCUCGUUUCUGUCGGUCAUCAAGAGCGGUAUUUGAUAUGCCUAAGUGACAUCUUUUCAGAUAUGGACGCUGUUAUUAUCCUCCCUUUUCUAGAUUUUUCCUUGCUAAUUUAUAGAUCCAAAUGAUUCCUAGUGGCAUCUUUUUGUUGUGGAUUUGGUUAUUAUUUGGUUGGAAGUUUUACAUUUUUACUUAUCAUGUACGAUGAUUGAUGAUGAGUUUUAUACAGGUAUGUGUAUGGUAGUAUUUUCUUUUUCACCAACUUAUUGAGUUAAAAUAAUUUUGCUAAUGGUUUUUUCAUCUGAUUGUAGGCAUAUGAAAGCUGUAGUUUCCAUUUAGGUGCAAACAUUGAAGUUUUGUGGAACUUGAAUGUCCAGGUAUGGAAGAAACCUUUUUACACGUGCUAUGGCAACCAGAAACUAAACAACUCUUAAGAGAAGAACCAAUAAGCCCAAUACAUAUUAUGGAGCGAGACUCAGGAGACACAAGGCCAAUAUCUUCUUUAACAACAAUCAUACAAUUUCCUAUUUUUGGUUUCUUCAAUUUACUUUUAUUAUUAUAAUUUUUUUGUCAUCAUUAUUGACUUAGUGAUUAAUCUGUACUAUUACUUUCUAAAACCUCACUUGUUGAAUUCGAUAAUAG
Molecule: long non-coding RNA, 3454 nt
Organism: Cornus florida
Lineage: Eukaryota; Viridiplantae; Streptophyta; Magnoliopsida; Cornales; Cornaceae
Exons: 3
Source: RefSeq, a predicted model, not a curated record